CCUACGGGUGGCAGCAGUGAGGAAUAUUGGUCAAUGGGCGGAAGCCUGAACCAGCCAAGUCGCGUGAGGGAAUAAGGCCCUACGGGUCGUAAACCUCUUUUGCCGGGGAGCAAGGGCGGGGACGUGUCCCGGCCCGGAGAGUACCCGGAGAAAAAGCAUCGGCUAACUCCGUGCCAGCAGCCGCGGUAAUACGGAGGAUGCGAGCGUUAUCCGGAUUUAUUGGGUGUAAAGGGCGUGCAGCCGGAGAGACAAGUCAGAUGUGAAAUCCACGGGCUCAACCCGUGAACUGCAUUUGAAACUGUUUCCCUUGAGUGUCGGAGAGGUAAGCGGAAUUCCUUGUGUAGCGGUGAAAUGCGUAGAUAUAAGGAAGAACACCAGUGGCGAAGGCGGAUUACUGGACGAUAACUGACGGUGAGGCGCGAAAGCGUGGGGAGCAAACAGGAUUAGAUACCCUGGUAGUC
RNAcentral lists this ribosomal RNA (461 nucleotides) under uncultured bacterium. Its description in RNAcentral is "partial 16S ribosomal RNA". It matches the Rfam family "Bacterial small subunit ribosomal RNA", at positions 338 to 795 of the family's 1533-position model. The record is from RNAcentral.